UCACCUUGUACUCAGGGUUAUCUCUCUUCCGUAACAGCUCCAUUCCACAGGCCUGUGAUCACGGGCAAGCAGGACAACAACGGUGAGUAAUCAAUCGGAUAGACAGUACAUUAUACUACUGCCUGCUGGUUGAUGAAUUUUCAUGACCAAUGGCUACCUUCUCGUAGAAGCUUAUGGCGCGGUCGAGAUCGCCGACGCGGAGCAUCACCUGGCACAAGGGCUCUGGAGUGCCCGGCCUCUCAAGGAUCUCAAACUUGUAGCCGUUAGGGUCCUCGACGAAGGCGAUCACGGUCGUGCCGCCCUUGACGGGCCCGGG
This 316-nucleotide long non-coding RNA is filed under the name Setaria italica (foxtail millet). Its description in RNAcentral is "long non-coding RNA (SITA_LNC000245)". Lineage: Eukaryota; Viridiplantae; Streptophyta; Magnoliopsida; Poales; Poaceae. The record is from RNAcentral.